This 434-nucleotide ribosomal RNA is filed under the name uncultured bacterium. Its description in RNAcentral is "partial 16S ribosomal RNA". It matches the Rfam family "Bacterial small subunit ribosomal RNA", at positions 29 to 507 of the family's 1533-position model. The record is from RNAcentral.
AGCGAACGCUGGCGGCAGGCCUAACACAUGCAAGUCGAACGAACAGACCGGGGUUUUUGGCGGCCGGCUGUGUCACACGUCGGAACGUGCCCUCAUGGUCGGCCUACCUCAGGGAAACUUAUGCUUAUACCGAACGUGCCCUUCGAGGGAAUGAUUUAUCGUCCUUAGUGCGGCAGGCGUCUGAUUAGCUAGUUCGUUCAGGUAAUGGCACAUCCAGGCGACGAUAAGUAGCUGGUCUGAGAGGAUGGUCAGACACAUUGGGGCGGAGACGCAGCAGAGACUCCUACGGGAGGCGGGAGAGGGGGAUCGUGCAAAAUGGGCGAAAGGCUGACGGAGCCAUGCCGGGUGAAUGAUGAAGGUCUUAAGAUAGUAAAAUUCUUUCACCGGGGACGGUAAUGACGGUACCCGGAGAAAAAGCCCCGGCUAACUACGUG